This 460-nucleotide ribosomal RNA is filed under the name uncultured bacterium. Its description in RNAcentral is "partial 16S ribosomal RNA". It matches the Rfam family "Bacterial small subunit ribosomal RNA", at positions 338 to 795 of the family's 1533-position model. The record is from RNAcentral.
CCUACGGGUGGCAGCAGUGAGGAAUAUUGGUCAAUGGGCGUAAGCCUGAACCAGCCAAGUCGCGUGAGGGAUUAAGGCCCUGCGGGUUGUAAACCUCUUUUGUCGGGGAGCAGAGGUCCGGACGUGUCCGGGUUGGGAUAGUACCUGUAGAAAAAGCAGCGGCAAACACCGUGCCAGCACCCCCGGUAAUACGGGGGAUGCGAGCGUUAUCCGGAUUUAUUGGGUUAAAGGGGUGCGUAGGCGGGCAUUUAAGCCGGCGGUCAAAUGUCGGGCCUCAACCCCGGCUUGCCGUCGGAACUGGGUGCCUUGAGUGGGCGAGAGGUAUGCGGAAUGCGUGGUGUAGCGGUGAAAUGCAUAGAUAUCACGCAGAACCCCGAUUGCGAAGGCAGCAUACCGGCGCCCUACUGACGCUGAGGCACGAAAGUGCGGGUAUCGAACAGGAUUAGAUACCCUGGUAGUC